Molecule: ribosomal RNA, 207 nt
Filed under: uncultured Sulfuricurvum sp.
Lineage: Bacteria; Pseudomonadati; Campylobacterota; Epsilonproteobacteria; Campylobacterales; Sulfurimonadaceae
Description: partial 16S ribosomal RNA
Rfam family: Bacterial small subunit ribosomal RNA
Source: RNAcentral
UGCGUAGGCUGACUUUUAAGUCAGGCGUGAAAUCCAAUGGCUUAACCAUUGAACUGCGCUUGAAACUGGGAGUCUAGAGUUCAGAAGGGGCAGAUGGAAUUAGUGGUGUAGGGGUAAAAUCCGUAGAUAUCACUAGGAAUAUCAAAAGCGAAGGCGAUCUGCUGGGAUGAUACUGACGCUGAGGCACGAAAGCGUGGGGAGCAAACA